AUCCUGGCUCAGAUUGAACGCUGGCGGCAUGCUUUACACAUGCAAGUCGAACGGUAACAGGCCGCAAGGUGCUGACGAGUGGCGAACGGGUGAGUAAUGCAUCGGAACGUGCCCAGUCGUGGGGGAUAACGCAGCGAAAGCUGUGCUAAUACCGCAUACGAUCUAUGGAUGAAAGCGGGGGACCGUAAGGCCUCGCGCGAUUGGAGCGGCCGAUGUCAGAUUAGGUAGUUGGUGGGGUAAAGGCUCACCAAGCCAACGAUCUGUAGCUGGUCUGAGAGGACGACCAGCCACACUGGGACUGGGACACGGCCCCAGACUCCUACGGGAGGCAGCAGUGGGGAAUUUUGGACAAUGGGCGCAAGCCUGAUCCAGCAAUGCCGCGUGCAGGAAGAAGGCCUUCGGGUUGUAAACUGCUUUUGUACGGAACGAAAAGGCUCUGGUUAAUACCUGGGGCUCAUGACGGUACCGUAAGAAUAAGCACCGGCUAACUACGUG
This 495-nucleotide ribosomal RNA is filed under the name uncultured bacterium. Its description in RNAcentral is "bacterial SSU rRNA". It matches the Rfam family "Bacterial small subunit ribosomal RNA", at positions 16 to 507 of the family's 1533-position model. The record is from RNAcentral.